Molecule: long non-coding RNA, 2525 nt
Filed under: Homo sapiens (human)
Lineage: Eukaryota; Metazoa; Chordata; Mammalia; Primates; Hominidae
Description: non-protein coding LINC02355:6
Source: RNAcentral
AGUAUCCUUCUUCCACCAGGAGGAAGAAGAACUGUGUCUCUGAAGUUUGGGAAGUAUACGUAGACAUGGAGUCUGGCCUUGAGCUUUCUGUAGUAGAAAGGCCCAUGUCAGCAGCCCUUAAAGGGACAGGGUGAGGUGUACUCGGGGGAAAGAUGGUAGUAACCAUACUCCUCCCAAUUUUCCGUGAUACACCACAGUGUAAAAGAGGACCCCAGUGGUUUCCACGGCUACACAGAAAAUUCAUGGAGGGUAGCAGAAGAAGAUGAGCCAUGGAGCUGCCAGGUGGCUGCCAGUCCAAUCUUUUAAGGUUCAAUUUAGGGAAAAGGACUUUUUCUCAGUAAGCCCUGAUACCUUGAUGUGAGAAGGCCAAGAAGAAGCCUAUAGAGAUGCCCACAAGAGGAGACUAAAGCUGAGAGAAACUGAGGCCCCUGGCCCUAGAGCUUUCACUGAGCUCCAGCUGACAACCAUCAUCAAAUCACCAGCCAUGUGACUGUGCCAUGAUGGGAGGGAAUCACCCAGUGUCCAAAUGAUCUGAUGCCACAUGUAAAAGAGAAGAGCCUUCCCCUUUGAGCCCUGCCCAGAUUGCUACUCUGCACCAAGUUUGUUCUUUACUCCCAGCCUAAUGGAUGAAAUGAAACUUGGUGAGCUCCCAGAGUUGGACAACCUUCAGAAUGCUGAGACAUACUAAAUGAAGGAAGAAAGUCCUUUUGUGAGUUCUCCAAAACUCAGACCUCCCAGUGACUACAGCAAGGUCCUGUUGUUUCAGUGAAAAGCUGUUCAACUUGGUGAACCAGACAGAGAAGAGACCCUGGGCCGUAAGAGGCUUUAAAAAAUAUUUAUCCAAUGAAUGAGGAGUGAUGGAAGUGAAGAACACUAAACUCAAUUUAGUGGUUACCACUGCAUAAAGGAGAGAAAUAAAACUGCAAGAGGAACACGAGGCACCACCUGUAUCUGCAAUAUUGUGUCACCAUAAGAAAACUCUGAUAUAAAACAUGCCAAAAUACUGAGCUCUGGCAAAAAACAAAAAGCAAACAAAUUCAGCCACAGCUAAAGGCUCUGCAUGAAUUCUGUGGUCUCUAUAGGAAGUAGUAAAAUGAUCUAUGGUACCCCAAAAGCAGUCUUCAGGGGAUUUCACAGAGCAAGUAUCAGAACAUGUUACAACUCAUUUCUAAGGAAGUUCCUCUAAACUUCCUGUCUGUACCAUAAACCAUGGUCUGCUGGUCUCCUCUUCAUUCAUUCAUUCAUUCAUCCAAGAUACUUUCUGGAUGUCCCUGUCUUCAGGAAGAAGGGCUUAAUAGUGGAAUGUUAUGUGGGCAUUGCCACUGGACAGAAACAUUCUUCUCUUUGCAUAAAGUCACAUGAGUCUAAGAUAAUAAUCUGGCCUUGUUCCUCUACAGAAUGACCUCAUUGUUGGCUCAUGAAAGAAAUGAAAUAAUACUAAUAAUUCAUGCUCUUUUAAUUUCCUACCACAAAAUAAAAUUACAAAAGCAAAAUAAAAUAGAAUAAAUAAAAAUUUUAAAAGAUUACACACGAGAAGUACUUCAAAAUGGAUUAUUAACUCAGAACAUUCCACAAACUAUUAUAUACUUCUAAAAUAAAAGCAAAUUUUUAAAAAGUCUAUAUCACAGUUUAAAACAUAGAGAUCUACUUCUUUUAUCUAAUCAAAGAACUUAUAAUGACUAUCAGAACAGGGUCUUAAGAAAAUGGCAGCUUUUAUUCUCGUUCAAUGGAAUACAGGAGCCAUUCUGUGAGGAAGCCCAAACUGGGUUGUGGAGAGGUUUAUCUGGAGAAGAAUCAACAGACAACACUAAUUUGCCAGCCAUUUGAGGAGCAGUAUUGAAAGUGGAUCCUCCAUCUCUAGGUCUUCAGUUUCAGAGGAGCUGUGACUGAGGAACCACAUUUGCACCUGGACCUGAGUACUGUGUGUACAUUUACUGAGAAGACAGAGGAUUUCCAAGCAAUACAAGAAUUCUGUCACAUAAACGAUCUGAUGGGAAACAUAUCAAAGUUGCUGGAUUGCUGGUUCUGUAUGCGUGCUGGGAAACAAUCACACUCUAACUGUAGCUGCCUAGGUCUUCUGAUGCCAUGUUACAGAUGGCCUGUGACCUGGGAGCACCCAAAGCAACAUGCUGAGACUGAAUACAACUCCCUUUACUUCACAGUUCUCAUUUCCAGAGAUAUUUGCAAGGAAAGGGGACAUCUGCAAUGUUUGACAUAACAUCUUGUCAGCCAUGUGGCUGCUUCUGCAUUUCUAGAAAAAGCAAUAUGAAUGGAGGCUGGCCAGAAGUCAAGGGAAGACAAAGGAUCCAGCUGGCUUCAGCAGCUCCUGUAAUGCAGCACAAGUCACAGUGUGGAAAAUGCAGAGAAAUGGUAAAUUACUGUAGAAAGACAGACUGCCAGGCUACCUUGAUUGCCACUGCACUGGGAUUACAUACAAACUUUAUUGCACAGGUCAUAUCGAUAAUUUACUAAAUUGAAAUUUGAGCAACAAAAGAUUAAAAACCACUUAAAAAAUAGAAAGAAAA